This 628-nucleotide ribosomal RNA is filed under the name uncultured Alphaproteobacteria bacterium. RNAcentral's name for it is "bacterial SSU rRNA". It matches the Rfam family "Bacterial small subunit ribosomal RNA", at positions 33 to 714 of the family's 1533-position model. The record is from RNAcentral. Lineage: Bacteria; Pseudomonadati; Pseudomonadota; Alphaproteobacteria.
ACGUGGCGGAGGCUCACACUGCAGGUGUAGCGCGCCUUCUGGUGAGCGCCGGACGGGUUAGUAACGCGUGGGAACGUGCCCUUCUCUACGGAAUAGCCUCUGGAAACGGAGAGUAAUACCGUAUACGCCCUUUGGGGGAAAGAUUUAUCGGAGAAGGAUCGGCCCGCGUUAGGUUAGGUAGUUGGUGGGGUAACGGCCUACCAAGCCUACGAUCUAUAGCUGGUUUUAGAGGAUGAUCAGCAACACUGGGACUGAAACACGGCCCAGACUCCUACGGGAGGCAGCAGUGGGGAAUCUUAGACAAUGGGCGCAAGCCUGAUCUAGCCAUGCCGCGUGAGUGAUGAAAGCCCUAGGGUCGUAAAGCUCUUUCGACAUGGAUGAUCAUGACGGUAACUGGUAAAGAAAACCCGGCUAACUCCAUGCCAGCAGCCGCGGUCAUACGGAGGGGGUUAGCGUUGUUCGGAAUUACUGGGCGUAAAGCGCGCGUACGCGGACCAGAAAGAUGGGGGUGAAAUCCCGGGGCUCAAACCCGGAACGGACUCCAAAAAUCCUAGUCUUGAGUUCGAGAGAAGUGAGUGGAAUACCGAGUGUAGAGGUGAAUUCGUAGAUAUUCGGAAGGACACCAGUG